Molecule: long non-coding RNA, 19842 nt
Filed under: Malus domestica (apple)
Lineage: Eukaryota; Viridiplantae; Streptophyta; Magnoliopsida; Rosales; Rosaceae
Description: long non-coding RNA (MDOM_LNC016940)
Source: RNAcentral
AAAAAAAUACCUCAUAACAGUUUAUACAAUAUUGGCUCUUUACAUUGAAGCUGCCAAGCAUGGAUGAGUCGCUGAGAAGUAGUACUCUGAAGGACCAUUUAAAUGCAAAGGUUGUGUACCACUUCUGCGAUGCAAAAGAAUGAAGCAAAAGGUUCAACAAUGAGCUGGAACAGAUCACUAUAGCACGACGCCCUCCCUAUAGAACCGCAUAAUCCAGACAGAUGAGUCUAAGUCAAAUCCAAGCUCGUCAUCGUUACCCUAUUCGAAUAGCUCGAAAAGCUUCAACAACCUUUCGCUGAUACCAUCGCCAAAGAGCACAGCCUCGCCAUGCCACAUCCACUACUUUGUCAACAACAAAAGUAUCCCAUAUCAUCAGGGUCGAACGUACUAUAGAUUUGAUGGACUUGUUUUGACCCUCAAAUUCUUGAGUUGGCCUUAUACUCUAGAGGAAACCAGAAAACCCUGCAGCCUAGUUCAAGAAUAAGCAUGUGGAAAGUUACUUCUUCAAAAACAAAAGUAUCUCAUAUCAUCUCUUCUCAUUUUUCUUCUUUUUAUCCUUCUUGCUGCCUGCAAGAUAGGGAGAAUGAGAACAAUCAGCCGGAACUCGAAAUCAAACUUCUAAUCUGGGACUAAUUGCUUAGAACUCUAAUUGCUUACCUUGUUUGUCACCUUUUUCGGCAGAUCUCUUAGCUCGGCGACUUGGGGGACUCUUACUACAUGGUUUGUAUUGCGCUUGACCAAGCCUGAAACUACAAGUAAGCUUCAAAUGAAAUUGAUACAUUACCUUGUGCAUCUCCACUGGUUACAGAUACCACUCCUGAAUGGAGGAAAAGUACUUCUAGAGAAGAUGCCACAUCUACCUAUGAGACAGAUAAGGCAAGUGAAAACGAUACCACACUUCGAUACUUAGAAAUUUCGUGAUUACUCAGCGGGUUGGAUCUUGCAAGUUCCCAACCGAGGAACUUCCAUCACUCGGGAACUUAGGGGAACACUGUUUGUACCAUACUUGACCAAUCCCGAAACUACUGAGCACCUGUCAACAUUAUACCGUCAAGGACCCAGAAGAGUUUCCCUCUAACCAAGAGGCCAAUCACAACGUGACACGUGUCAACAUCAGAAGCCAAUCAUAGUGCAACACGUGUCAACAUUAGAAGCUAAUCACAACACGACACGUGUCAAUGUCAGAACAAAGCUAAAAACUCUAUAAAAGGAGAUCAUUCUCUCAUAAUAUUUCCUAAUGUCAUUUGUACUAAAUCAUUCACUAGUACUUACUAAAGAAGAGCUUGAACCUAUGUACUUGUGUAAACCCUUCACAAUUAAUAAGAACUCCUUUACUCCAUGGAUGUAGCCAAUCUGGGUGAACCACGUACAUCUUGUGUUUGCUUCUUUGUUUCUGUCCAUUUACAUACCUAUCCAUACUAGUGACCGGAACAAUCUAGCGAAGGUCACAAACUUGACACUUUCUGUUGUACCAAAGUUCUCGCUGAUUUUGUGCAUCAACAUACCUGACCCAAAAAGGGCUUGCAAGCUCACAGAAUAAAACCCUAAAAUUCGAAGACGAAUAUUUCCUGCAACCAAAAAAUGAAAUCAAAAGAAAGAACCAGAUGUAAAACACGAAGAAAUAAAGAAAACAUUGAGCAAAAUAGGUGAAGAGCCGAACUUUACAACAAUCAAUUAAAAAAAUUCCUUCCUAACCAAACAGAAAAUAAAGCAACGCAUGAACAAACACACCUGAACCAGAGCGAUUCGUUCGUGGAAAACAGCGACAAUAACAGGCCAAACACCGUUCCACACGAUCCGAUCGGAAUCGAAACCGAAAGACAAACGGGGAAAUCGAUAGAAACAAAAAGACAGAAAGAAGAAAAGAAGAGGAAAGUGAAAAUUGGAAGGCACAAAACGCACACACGGGAACAAAAAUAAGAGAGGGGCAAAGUGGCCAAUUCACCAUACAACCCCACUAAAGCCUAAAAACUUGAAGAGAAUGAGGGGCAAAACUGGGUGGGCACUGUUAGUGAGCAGUAGUUUUCAUCGGGUUUUAGUAUAUAGAUAAUAAUUUGCGAGCAGGCAUGUCCGUGGGUAUAGAAGUUGCAGCAAUAGAAAGCCCAGCCCAAAUGAUGGGCACCGGCGAAAAGGCAACAGAAUGUUAGUUGUGGGUACACGUGGUUGAUGGUGCACUUCUUAUUUUUGUGUUACGCACUGACAGUUGCCAAUCAAGCUCACGAACCAAAGUAACCUCUCUCUCUCAGUUCUUCUUCCCUUCCCUUCCCUUCACACUGCAAACCUCCUCAGUCUGAUUCACUUUUUUCAACCAACCGCUCCCUCAAAUUGUAAGCUCUCCCGUCUCCCUCUACCGAUUUAGUUUUCUUCUGGAUUAUUUGUUUGGCUUUCAUUUGGGUUGUUGAUGCUUUUGCUGUUUUCCCUCAACUGAUUUGAUAUUCCAUUUUUGUUGAUUUUAGAAUAAUUGUUGAUGUUUUUGGCUAUUUAGUUUGCAAUUUUGCAUUGAUUUGAAUGGGUUUACUUUUUUGAAGCUGCAGUGCACCCAAUUUGAUUGGAUAUUGAAGACAAGGGCGGAAGGAGAGGCAUUCCUUCCUUGUUUAAGAUUAUUCUUGCUUGCAGGUUGCACCACUGGUUGGUUGGUAAUUUCAAGCACUCAAAUUUGUUUUUGUUUUUUUUUAAUUUUUUGUGUGAAUAUGUUUGGUACCCUGCAACUGGGGAACUGGGUUACUGGGGUGGGGGUUUUAUGUUCGAGUUCCGGGUGCUUGAUUUUAUAACUUAUAAGCAUGCUUAAAUUCUCAUGUGUAAUACAUGUGCUUGCUUGUUUCUGAGUUGACAGAAGAAAUAUAUGUAACAGUUUUGAUGUAUAUUCCCCGGAGAGGGGAGUAGUGGACCACUACUAGUGGUCAACCGGGGCUCAAGCAAAAGUUUAGAGGGUGAAAGAAUGGAGGAGUGCUCGACCGGGGCUCUAGUCCCGGCAGUGAAACCCGAACCAAAAGCGUCAAGCAUCACGGAUUUGGCAGAUCCAGGUAGCGGUGAGGUGGGUCGUCUGGUGCAUGAGAAAGAACUGGCAGAGGUAGACAAGGACUUGUUAUGCCCAAUUUGUAUGCAAAUGAUAAAGGACGCCUUCCUCACAGCGUGUGGUCAUAGCUUCUGCUACAUGUGCAUCAUCACCCACCUCCGCAACAAGAGCGACUGCCCUUGCUGCGCCCAGUUCCUCAGCGCCAAACAAUUGUUCCCUAAUUUUUUGCUGGACAAGGUUUCCUCUCAAAUUCCCACUCCUUAAAGAUGAAAAAUGAUAUACUUAGAACUGCAGCUUACUGUUAUAUGUAAUGUACUGUAGCUUCUGAAGAAGACUUCUGCUCGUCAAAUUUCCAAAAGUGCAUCUCCUGUAGAGCAUUUUCGCCAGGCAUUGCAGCAGGUGAGUCUGGCUGUACGAGUCAAGUAAAAUAACAUAUGAAUUUUCGUUUGCUGUCUGAAUGUGGUGUUGUGCUGUGAUAGGGAUGUGAAGUGUCAAUCAAGGAACUAGACACCCUGUUGGCACUCCUGGCAGAGAAGAAGAGGAAAAUGGAACAAGAAGAGGCGGAGAGAAAUAUGCAAAUACUGCUUGACUUCUUGAAUUGCCUAAGGAAGCAAAAAGUUGACGAGCUUAAUGAGGUUUCUUUGUAUACUCUUGGCGUUAUUUGAAAUAUUUGAUUGAACUGAAUUAAAUGGUAUCUGUUACUAAUUCAAUUGAUUUUAUGUUGCAGGUGCAAACCCAUCUCCAAUUUAUCAAAGAGGACAUAGGUGCAGUAGAGAGAUGCAGAAUGGACUUGUACCGUGCCAGGGACAGAUACUCUGUCAAGCUGCGGAUGCUUGGAGUGGAUGAUUCUAUUUCUGGGACAAGAAAGCAAUGGCAUUCCUCUCCAGAUAACAACGCCUGUGCGCUUAGUGGACGAGGAGGGAUGUCAUCUUGGAAUCUUCCGAGAAGGGAUGCUUUAAGUGCAUCAGACUCCCAGUAUCUAACUCAAACUGGUCUUGCUGUAGCCAGAAAAAAGCGGGUCCAUGCACAGGUCAGUGACAGUCCUGUAAUGAUUAUAGACUUUUGCACUUUGUGUGCUUCUAUCUUAUGAUGAAUACACUUGUCCCGGGGGAUCAUUGCUAUUAUUUAGACAUUAGAUGGUGGUUAAUAUGGGCAACCCCCUCAAUCAUUCCAAACCUGUUUCUCAUUUGGUCCUCAACAAAAGCCACCUCAAUUGUACUCAACAAAUGCAUUAAUAUAGCUCUCUGUCAAUUUGGCAUGAAAUCAAUACUUACACUGGGUUUUGGUUUAUGGGGUUUCUGGACUUUAGUUGAGUUUACUUUUAUUUUUGGGUAAUUGUUAUUAGAACUCCAAAAUAGUCACUCCGCACCCCUCCCUACCUUAUUUUUUUUCAUUGGAGUGGAGAAUGAAUUUUUUUGGAGUGCCAGCACCUGUAUUGAUCAAGUUAAUUGAAUUUAAGGUAAGCUAGACCCUCCUCGUUUUUAUGGUUGUCUUGGUUUGUUCUCAUUCCAUCCCUGGCUUGUAGUUUGAUGAACUUCAAGAGUGUUACCUGCGAAAGCGGCGUCAGAUGGCGAACCAACCGUACUCCCAGCAAGAACGGGACAAAAGUGUAAUACAGAGAGAAGGUUAUACUGCAGGUCUUGCUGAUUUUCAAACAGUGCUCACUACAUUAACACAGUACAGGUAUGAUAUCAGAUAUUGGAUCCCUUACAGAAAUUUACUUUUCAUUUGGGUCAACAUGCAGAUAUACAGUUUUAUUUACUAUAAUCACUAUUCUGUUUUGUUUGCUAUGAAACAGUCGAAUGAGGGUCAUGGCUGAACUUAGGCAUGGGGAUCUAUUUCACUCAGCCAAUAUAGUAUCCAGGUGAUUAAUUAUGUUGCAUAUCAUGUCUAACUUUCAGAAUUAAAUGUCUUGAUUCAUUAUAGAUGAACUAUGUUCUGGAGACGUUGUUGCUGGUAUUGUUAACCUCAUACAGUUGUUCACAUUCAUUGCAGCAUUGAAUUUGAUUGUGAUUACGAGUUAUUUGCUACUGCUGGAGUUUCACGGUGCAUAAAAGUUUUUGACUUCUCUUCGGUAUGAUUUUGAUUUUAAGAUUGUUUUUACCGUUAAUUCCAGCAACAUUAAUUUUCUGUCGACAGUCAGUAUUGUUAACUUCUAAAAGAAAGGGUGUUCAGAUACUUCUGGUUGCUUGAGUGCAUUGCCUAGUCAACUACUAAAAGAAAGGGUUUUAAGAUAUUUUCAACAAAGACAAAUUGCUUUAUUUUUUGAUUGUUUGAAUGCCUUCCUCUAAUAUAACAAUAGAGUAUUGACUCAAUACAAAAGUUGAUUUUACUCGGUAUAUUUGAACAAAUAGAAUUAGAUUAACCAUUGAACAAUUAGCCAAUUUAAAGAAAAUUACAUAAAUAAUAAACAUUCAUGUAUGGUUUUGCAAAAAAUCUAUCAUAAUUUUUUUCUUUUCCGGGAGUAUGAAGAAUAUUUGUUGGUGAGACACAAAAUCCUUAUACCAAAAUUCCAUAUGCUCCUACUUCCGUCUUUCUGGUAAAAGAAGUACUCUAGUCUAUGAUUAAGCUCAUAAAACUCAAAAGUAUUGUCCAUGCAUUAAAAGAGAACUCAAACAUCAAAUAUGAAUAUUAAUUAGUACUGAGCAUUAAAAGUAUAGAUCAGACUAAGACAUUCUCUUAGCCUUAGCUGAAAGAUUAGAACCUUAUGACAGAAGAGAAAAUGGUUUUUUGUAUGAAGAACCUGUAUGAAACCACGAACACAAGCCUGUGGGAAUCUACCAUCUCUCUUUAGGUCUAUCUGCCAUCUCUCUUCAAAUAGGAUAUCUCAUGCAGUAGGUUUGCUUUUCAUUUGUUAAGUCCCAUGUCACUCUCCAAUCCCUACGUCAAAUUCAAGCCAGUGUCCAGUCCCUAUUAUAGAAAGUUCAUUUUCUCUCCCAAUUGAAUUAGAAAAUUCACAUGCAGCUGUACAGUUUACCUACGGAUAAUGUAGAUUUCCAGACUCCUGGUCUUCAACUUAAAUGUGUAAAGCAUUCAUAGGAUUGAAACUAAGAGAUAUGAACACAAAAAGUUAGAGAUACGCAAAAGAAUCAUUUUUUUUUUUCAGCCCAAGUUGAUUCUUGAAGUUUACGUUGACUGAUUUACUUUAUAAGUUACUAGCCUCUAGUCUCUCAGCACGCGCUGACGCACGCGCAAGAGGCAUUUUUUCAAUUACGCGCUACGCACAACAUACAAACUUUUAAUCAUGCACAAAGACUUAACAAAACAUUAUUCUUGCGCCCGUUACGCAGAUUUUACAAAGAAAACUAGUGAAUCUUAUAUUUAAUCAUGGUUUAGAUAUAAUUGAAUAAUGUAUAAAAGAGAUUGAACAAACCCUAUUACUGGUUUUUGUCAAGAGACUUUAACCUAUAACUUUGGUUGACAGAAAUUGUUUUGAAAUGCACUCGAGUCUAAAGGCCGAGCCACCAAAAGAUUUUGUGAUAUUUGAUAUAACACAAGCAAAAACGUGUGAGAAACAAAGUCCUAAAACAAAUAAAUCCCUUCACCACUGCUUGCAAGCAUCUUAAAUAUAAUAUUAUUAUAUUACAAUUAAAUCUAUUAGGUGAACUUUGAAGAAGCAACAAUUGACAUUACAUUCCAAGGCUUUUCAAAUUUGGCAACAAAAACAUAUGCUUCCCAGCAACUUCGGGAUGAAGGCCUGACAAAUUCCUUAAGUUUCUAAUUUCUUCCAAAUGAUUGGCUGUGAUUAGAUAGGUUUGAGUGCGUCAUGCGCCCUUCUGUAAACACAAACAGAUAAGUUGUCACGGUAUAGUUGAAUAAAACAUGUAUCAAGGGAACAUAAUUAACCACAAUUAUUUGUCAAAAAAAGCACUUUAGUGCCUAUCUACAAGAAUACGGCGAUAUACAAAUUGCAUGAACUAUAGGUGUUAGUUUAAUGAGUCAACAAUGAAGCUCUAGAAGAGAGUAAUUGAGCAUAGACUAAGGUAAGAGACAUGGGUCUCAGCCAAUCAAUUCGGGCUCAUGCCAGGAACUAUGGAAGAAAUCUAUCUUGUAUGGACAUCGAUGGAUAGAUAUAGAGAUAUGCAAAAGGAUUUGAAAAUCGUUGUUGUAGAUUUGGAAAAAGUGUACGAUAGGGUCUCUAGAGAAUUUUUUUGGAGCAUUCCAAAGAAAGAAAGGAGUAUGAGUAGCAUAUAUCUAAGCAAUAAAGGAUAUGUAUGAUGGAGCAAAGAUUGUUGUAAGAACUCAUGAAGGACAAACUGAAAGCUUUCCUAUAACCAUAAGGUUGCACAAGGCUCAACUUUAAGUCCAUUUGAUUGGUAAUGGAUGAGUUAACGAGAUAUAUUCAAGAUGAUAUCCUUUAGUGUAUACUUUUCGCAGAUAAUAUAGUGAUGAUAGAUAAAACACAGGAAUGAGUGAAUGCGAAGCUUAACCUUUGGCAGGAAGUGUCGGAAUUUAAAGGUCUUCGCCUAAGUAGGUCAAACACAUAGUAUAUGGAGUGCAAGUUCAGUGAGAAUGGGGAUACAAAUGAGAUAGGGGUGAUGAUCGAAGAUUAGGAAGUACCAAAUAGUGAACUCUUUUGUUAUCUUGGAUCAUUCUUGCAAAAUAACAAAGAAUUGAAUGGAGAUCUCAAUCAUAGAAUACAAGAUGGAUGGAUGAAGUGGAAGAGUGCAUCAAGUGUGUUGUGCGAUCAUGGUAUGCCACUAAAGCUCAAUGAAAAAUUUGGCAAGUAAUGCUUUAUGACAUAGAAUAUUGGGUGGUCAAGCAUGUGCAAAAAAUAAGUGUAGCGGAGAUGAGAAUGCUUUGUUGGAUGUGUGGCCAGUGUUUUCAAAGGCUCGCCUCAGGGCGUCCGGGGCGUUCAUCUAGGCGUUUUUUUCUUCAAAAUCCAAGUUUUUUGCCGUUCAAGUUUAAACAAAGAAGUAGAGACUCUCCAAAUCCCAUAAAUUUCCAUAAUAAUUGCUCUACUGAGCCUUUAUUUCAUUUUAAAUACCCUAUAAAUACUCCACUCAACCCUUUAUUUUCGCCAUUUAUUUCAUUUUAAAUACCCUAUAAAUACUCCACCCCAUUUAUUUCAUUUUAAAUACCCUAUAAAUACUCCACUCAACCCUUUAUUUGCCUUUAAAUUCCCAUAAUUAUUGCUUAAUAUCAUUUUAAAUACCCUAUACUACUCUUCUCAGCCUUUAUUUCCUUUUAAAUUACUUAUAAUUCCAACAUUAAGCCUGUAUUUUACUUGAAAUUUUCCUAUAAUUGUGAUCAUUCAUCCUUAUUUUCCUUGAAGUUCUCUAUAAUUGCUUACAAUAAAAUAAAUAAUUAUAACAUUUUGAGACUAUAUGACAUAGUUUCCAAGUACAACUAGACUUGGUACUAAAGAAGAUGAUAUUAUCUUUGAUUUAGUUAUAGUUAUAUUUGUUUUUACAAGGUAUUAUAUUGUUAUAAAUAUACUUUAUAUAUAGUAUAUAUUAAAAUUUUAGGUUCCGUGAGGCUUCGCCUCACGCCUCACGCCUAGGCUGGGCCCAUUGGACGCCUCAGCCACGCCCUCGGCUUUUAAUACAUUGGUGUGGGCACACAAAAAAGGACAGGAUUGAAAACAUGGAUAUCUCAGGUAGAGUAAGAGUGGCCACAGUAGAAGAAAAGAUUAGAGAAAAUCAGUUAAGGUGGUUUGGACAUGUGAAAUGAAGACCUACAAAUACUUCGGCUAGAAAAUGUGAUUACCAGACAGAGGUUUGGGGCAAAAGAGGUAGAGAAAGACCUAGGGAGACUUGGAAAAGAUACUUUAAGAAAAGACAUGGAGCACUUGGAACUAACUGAAACUUGGUGCAAAACUGAGCUCAGUGGCGUUCUAGAAUUCAUACAACCAACCCCCCACUUAGUGGGAUAAGGCUUUGUUGUUGUUGUUGUUGUUGUUUUUGUCCAAGGGUAAUGCUAGUGAGAUUAAAUUUUCCGGCAAAAUUUUAGAAACUAAGUGACAUGAUACUUAAGUGUUAAUUAAUGUGCUUAUUUCUUAUUGGUGACACAUCAUUUAGUUGGAAAAUUUAGUUUACAUACUCUUUGGUCUAAAAGACCAAAAACAAAUAACCAUCAUCAAACCAAUACCUCUUGGUUCAAUCCCUGAUGAUUGCACACAGAGAAACAUUCUUGAAACACCAAAAAUUAGAACAUGCACCUGUAAAUGGCAUAAUGGCUAAUGGGGUACAACCUUAAAUCCCUUACUAACCAAAACUAAUAGGUAUACCGAAACAACCUCAACCAAUGGCAUAUUCCAGCAUUUACACGGUGGAAUUGUUCGACACAAAAAUGUCAUUGUCUUCCCCUCUCUCUAAUUGAAACAACAUAACUUCAUCACGUUAAAAUUAAGUAUAUACCAAAUACGAAGAAAUAACAUUGAAUUGCUGAUAAAAGAGAAUGCUAAAAAUUGAACAACCCAACAAAAUUGAGCGAAGAAUCAAACCAAAAAGUCGAAUUUAUGCUUGAGUUUUUGGGAUAUGGAGGCUUGGAGAGCUUCUUCUGAAGUGGAAGAGGCGACAAUGAUCCAUUCCCAAAAUGGCAAAAUCAAAGAUCAAAUACCUAACAAAGCAGUGAAAUACCUUCGCAAAUUCUUGGAGCUUUGACAAUUUCAAUUGCCAAAAGCAAUAUUCUUUCAAGGUUGGACAAUAUGCAGUUUUCACCAAGCAGUUUGGAUUUUAUUUCUGUACUUUUGCGAAACUGUUUCCAUUUACACAUUCGUGUUUUUCCAUCCUCAGUUUAGUCGUCUGCACCGUGUGUCGGACUUGCAUUUGCUUUUCCUUUCUCUGUUUUCUUACUUGAUUUUUUACUAUAUUGUCCCCAUCUUAUGAAUUUUUUGUCUUUUCAAUUCACUAUAAUCAAAGGGCAGUUUAGGUACUUUCUGAAAAUCUAACCACAAGGCCUUCUGCCUUAAUAAUAUAGAUAAACAAACGUAAAAAUGUCCUUCCAAAUAUCUAAAUUUUACUUGAGUUGGGUUGAAGGAGGUACGUGUAUCAACUUAACCUGUGACAUCAGAUCAAUGCUAGCCCCAAUUUAACUUUAAGUUAAGAGAGGUGAUUUCACACCCCCGUUUAGCUUCUCACAAACCCCUCUUUAUUUCUUUGCAUCCGAUUGAAUACAUCAAACGGAAACAUCCAUUCAAUUGACAUCUCAUUGACUACUGUUUAUGGGCUUUUGGAAAUUUUGAUAUUAAUUGUAUGAUACUUCUUCCCAGGUUCUGAAUGAUCCAGCUGACAUGCACUGUCCUGUUGUGGAGAUGCCUACACGUUCAAAACUUAGUUGCUUGAGCUGGAACAAGUUUACUAAAAACCAUAUAGCCAGUACUGACUAUGAAGGAAUAGUAACAGUUUGGGAUGUAAAUACUCGGCAGGUAUAUGAUUUUACUUAUUCUGAUAGAUUUGUCAUGCGUGAUUUGAAUUUUUAUACUUGUUGCAUCACUUUCAGUUUUUUUUGCUCAUGCUUAAACUUUUUCGACAGAGUGUCAUGGAAUAUGAAGAGCAUGAAAAACGUGCUUGGAGUGUUGAUUUUUCAUGCAUAGACCCCACGAUGCUUGUAUCUGGUAGUGAUGAUUGUAAGGUACUCCGAAAAUCUUUAUAAUCUUGAACCAAGUAUUUUUUUUAUGAUUAGGUGACUGGAAAUGUAGUACCUCUCUCUUUUUCGAUAAGCAAAGAAGUAUUAUUCUAUGUGCACCAUUUUUUGCUUAUAAAAUCAUUAGUAAGAAAUUUCCGAGAACACCCAAAGGGGGCAAAAUACUAUAUUUUAGUGUGGUAGUAAUUAUUGUUGCGAGUGACUAGGCAAAAUGCUAUAUUUGCCAUGCUUGUCCUAAGGUUGCCUUGGUUGGUUUACGCUUACAAAAUAGUUGAUGUAUGCUUGUAUCUAAUUUAUUCACUAUAUACAGGAGGCUAAAUUGAUGUGUUGUGUGUGUACAAUGUUGAUGUGUCCUUUGUGUGCUUUGGCGGUGCAUAUUGGUUGUGGAACUGUUUCCUAUGUUUUAACUUUUAAAAGUACCAGUAAAUAAUUUUUUAUAACAAUGCCAAAACAAUUGUAUGUUUGCUUAAAAUUGGCUUGGUUCAGGCUAACAUGACUACAAUAUUUGAUCCCCCCCCCCCUCCUCCUCCUCCUCCUCCUCCUCCUCCUCCUCCUCAUACACAGCUUACCAUCCGACCGUCAGAAUUUAAGUGAGCAAUUUUGAGUGACACGUACGUUUGCUUUCACCAUUUUUGAUGCUCAAGGAAGUGUGCAUUAUAAACUAACCACAUCCUCUGUUCUUUGUAUAAAAACCAGGUAAAACUUUGGUGCACAAGGCAGGAAGCUAGUGUUAUUGAUAUUGACAUGAAAGCCAACAUAUGUUCCGUCAAGUAUAAUCCGGGAUCUAGCAACUUCAUUGCGGUAUGCACCUUUCAUUGCCAAUAUUGGAGAAAAGUUAUGGCACGCUAUCUGCUUCAUUGUUUGAUCUUGUUUAGUUCUUAGAUGAUUUGAGUGCAAACUUGUGCUUUGCUGACUUAAUUCGCAGUAAUAUACUGUGCCUGAGCAAUGCACUGGACUUACAUGUACAUACGCUAAUGUGUGCAUGCACACAUCUAUUGAGUUUUACUUCGACAUCCCGUUAUGGGUGGGGUAUGUCGUGUAUAAAAGAGUCAUACAUGAUAUGUCCUGUUAUUUACCAUAAAGUAAAGCUGAAACCUUUUCCUCCUGCCUUUUCCAGGUUGGUUCAGCAGACCAUCACAUCCACUAUUAUGAUUUAAGAAAUCCGAGCGAACCACUCCACGUGUUCACUGGGCAUGGGAAAACCGUGUCUUAUGUAAAAUUCUUGUCAAACUAUGAGCUUGCCUCUGCAUCCACUGAUAGCACGCUGCGGUUAUGGAAUGUGAGGGAUAAUAUUCCAGUAAGUGAUUAUGCCUUGAAGCAAACUCACUUUGGUACACUUAACAUAGUUAAUGGGUUAUUAUAUGCUCUAAUCUACAUGGAAAAUAAAACUAAUUGAGAAAAUGAGAAUAGAAUGGACUUGUUGACAUCUUGUUAUGAAACUUAUUUAUCGAUUAGCUAAGUUGUACUCUUCAUCUGUGUUUUGUUUGAAGGUUCGUACUUUUAAAGGUCACACAAAUGAGAAGAACUUUGUCGGUCUUACAGUAAACAGCGAGUACAUUGCGUGUGGCAGCGAAACAAAUGAAGUGUUUGUGUAUCAUAAGGUUAGUGGCAUUAAAAAAAAAUACUCCAUUCCUGCAUUUUGUUAACUUGUGAUUAACUAAAAGUUUCCGGUAUAAUUUGUCAGGAGAUCUCUAAACCUGUGACUUGGCAUAAAUUUGGGUCGCCUGAUUUGGAUGACACAGAGGAUGAUGCGGGGUCGUACUUCAUCAGUGCUGUAUGUUGGAAGAGUGAUAGCCCUACCAUGUUAACUGCAAACAGUCAAGGAACCAUUAAAGUGUUGGUUCUUGCGGCAUAGACAACAACUAAAUGGAAACUAAAAGAAGGAUUCACGAGAAAGAAAGUUGAUGCUGCGAUUGUUUUGUAAGCGAUAUUCGGAUGUUGAAGUGUAAAUGCUAGGAUUGAGUUGAGAUGCAAUGUCAGUGGAAAGUUUUAUUAUUUGUUAUACAGAAGAUACUAAAUGUGCCAAAGAAAGUGAAAAUAUAUAGCAAUAAUAUCAUUGAUUACCGAGUGUCCUUGUGUAUUAUGAGCCUGUGUGCCCGGCUUUUCUUGAGUUCUACAGAUUUAUUCGUCCUCAACAGAUUCAUGAAUAUUUGCAGUAAAACUUUAGUUUUUUCAACUUCAGUGUAAUUUUUAUUAUUUUGUUUUAUCAAAUGAUUUCGUGUUGUAGUUAGGUUGAUUAAGCAAACAAAAGCUAAUACCGUUGGUGUUUUUAAGGUGCGCACCUUCAGUGUGGAUGGGAAUCUAACCGUUGUGAGUUGUUGAGCUCGUGCGUAGAGCCGAGUCUUUGUGACCCAGUGUCAUUCAUACUUUUUUUUUUCACUGGGUGUGUUUUUGUCAGAGAGAGGGAAACCUAAGGGUUUAUUGAGAGGGAGCUGGUGUGAGUAGUCAAAUUGAGGUGGUGUAGACAACGAAAUUUCGGUAAAUAAACCAACGCAUUAAAGUUUCGAUGUGUCAUGACAUACAUGGGAUGCACCACGUGUCGCACAAUUGUACACAUGGCAUGUGACUCAAUAAAUUGGAAGAAAUAGCCUUGGAGGAUUAAACAAGUUUUUCUUCUCAUUUUUAGGCAAUGACAAAGGCAAGCACACUUCAAUCCAUUAUGGAUGAACACAAGUUUUUCUUCUCAUUUUGGGCAAUGACAAGGUAAGCACAUUUCAAUCCACUACGGAUCAAAACAAGUUUUUCUCAUUUGGGCAAUGACAAAACAAGCACACUUUAGGAAAUUAGGUCAAAUAUUAGACCACUUCAAUUUCAAUAUUGCAUUAAGUGGGAAAAUUAGGUAAUGGUGCUUGGGUGGGAAAAUUUUGUGGUGAUGAUUCAUUCUCAAAGCCUAUAAAUAGGCUUCUCCAUCAAGGUAUCAAGCAUCAUAAAAUUCACAAAUACAUUUCUCUACUCCCAAAGUGGAAGAGAAUUCCCCAAAACCUUCAAGCUUUGAAACUUUAAAGCUUUCAAGCAUCCAACCUCCAAAAUUCCCAAGAAUCCCGAAGGAUCGAGAAAGCUCUCUUCGUUCUUCGUCAAACCCUUGAAGAAAUCCACACAAACGUUCAUCAAGAUCAAGCCUCGAAGGCCCUUGAAGAAACUUCCAACCGUUCAUCCAAGAUCAAGCAUCGACGGCCCUUGAAUCAACAACAUCCACAGAUCAACAUCUUACGAAGAUCUAAUCAGAGGGUCAAAUUUGAGAGAGAUUGUAACCCCAAAAAUCAUUAACACCAAAAUAUUAUUUUGUACACGUGUUCUUGUUUCGUUCAAUUUCCGUGUUCACUGGUGGAUUGAAGCUCCAUUUCAAUUGUGACUCGGUAACCUUAUACCUUUUUUUUUUUUAAUUUGGUUCACUGGGUGUGGCUUUGUCAAAGAAAGAGGGAGAAUUGAGGGUUGUACUUGCGUGAAAGAGAGACAGAGAGGGAACUGGUGAAGGGUAUGAGUGCUCGAUUUCAGGUGGAUUGAAGCUCAGUUUGGAUUGUAGUUGACAAGGGUGGUUCGUCUACAACCUCCAAAGAAACGCAGAUUGUGAAGGGCAGUUUUAUGGCGUAAGUUCAUCCAAAUCCCACAUAUGCGAAGACGUUGUGCGAAGAAACUGUGAUCAGAGUGUUGUCGUCGUCAUGUUCGCUGUGACGGCAGCUAGUUCAGUCAAUUGGUUGAAGUGUUGCAGGUUGUACAUUUCACUUCCAUUUUCGUUCUAUUUUGGUUCUAAAAACCAACUUCGGGUACGUUUGUAAGAUAUUUAUAAUUUUGGGUUUUAAUCCAUAAUAUUGUGAUGAGUUGUGGUAAAUUGUGUAGAUUUGUAACAGGUAGUUAUUGAAUUGUAAUUUAAAAUUAGUACCAAGCGGAAUAUCAUGUAUAUGAAAAUUAUAAUCCGCUGGACUGACUAAUCAAGCCCGCCAGUCAACUAAGAUAGAUUCGUUAAUCAAUAAAUCAAAGAUUCAAUAACCAAUUUCAAAUACCAAAAACUAUCCUAGUCAGCAAGGCCUAAGUUCGUUUCAAGUUAUUAAUGUGUCAAGUUAGCAUGUUGUGAGCAUAUACCAAUUAAAUAUUCAAGUGAUACAUGUAUCAUGUAUAUGUACGAGAGAUAUGUGACACAAUAUAAAUAACUUUGGACACAAGAUAUUUUUGGCCAGACAUACCCACCUCUAAGUUAAAAAACCAGGGACUCUCCACUAAGUCCAAUCCACUACUGUAAACAAGAUUCUUACAAAGUAACACGUAAAGCCCAAUUCCUAGACCUAGUCUACGGAAAUGGAGUCAUCUCCAGUCUUCCCAAGAUGGCAGCUCUUCCUGAACUCUUCACCUUGUGGCACUGAGAUCAACACCAACAAAUGCUAUGAUGUUAUGAUAUGCUUACAAAAAUCUAGAUUCAAACGACCAGUCAUAUUCUCCAGUCAAACAAUUGAAGGAAGAACCUAAUGUGAAUCCAAAUGCAUGGUCUAAGAAGGAUUUAAAACUUAAAUCUAGACCAAGAAUUUAAUGCAAAACCUUAAAACAACGCAGCCCUAAUAUGCAAUGAUUUGGUAUUUAAUGCGUGAACUUGGUUUUGCAACUAGGGUUUCAUAAAUGGGGAGGAAGAAGGUAGAAGCAUAAAUGCUCUCUCUAACUUCUCUCUAGAUAGAAAUGUACUAGGAAACCCCAAAAAUCAAAGAACCCUAGUUGGGGAUCUUAAACCCAAAAGCAUCAGUUUUUUUUUUUCACCUACCAAGGACACUUGUCAAACUACAAACUGAUCAAAAAUGAUCAAGGGCUAAUAUUUGACCAUCAGCAAAAAGCUAUCAAAAAGCCCAUGUGGGUAGACCUUAAAUUGUGUGCCCAGCAGCUAGAAAUUGGUGUGCAAAACAGAUGAGACAACUAAGUUAGUCAGGAAGUAACAAGAAUUUAAACAUGAAAUGCACAUGCAUGACCAAACCUUUUGAAGUAAGAUGUGCCACAAACUUGAACGUUUAUUCCCAGCAGUAGUAACCCAUAAUCAAAGAAUAGCCUAAAGCAAGAUUGAGCAUCGGGUACGAUUACAAUGUUGAUAUGCAAAGCCAUACCUAAAAUUCUAGACUUCACAUAAUUCGAUGAGGGAUGAGUUAGAAAUAGACGAAAUCAUCAAGGAAGGAGAAGAUGUAGAUGUAGGAGAUCAAUUUGCUGCAUGGAGGGUUGUAUUUGCGGUACCAAAUAUAAACGAUGAGUUGAAACUCAAAUUGAAAAUAGUGUUUGAUUCGUUGGAUGAAGGGUAUAUUGUUUACAAUAAUUAUGCACUUGCAGUUGGGUUUGCAAUUUGGAAGUAUAGUAAUAAAAAGUGUAGUGAUGUUAAUUGUUUGGUUAGAAAGAAUUUGUUUGUUGCAAACAAGGAAAAAAGAGAAUGGAUGCUAAUCCCAAAAUACAAUAAAUAAAAAAAUGGUAGAAGGGGAGAUACUAGAAGUAACUGCAAGCCGAAAAUUGUGUUAUAUAAGAAAAUUGGUUGUGAUAAGUUUAUUAUUUAAAGCAGCCACAUCCCUUUUGGUUAUGAAAGCUGAAUGGAUUAACAGAGAAUUGACAAAAUGUUAAUUUUGAGUUUCAAUCCUAAUGGAUGUCAAGGUUUAAAUCCUAAUUUUUUUAGUACAGGACUAUCUUCCAAUUUCGUUAUCAACACGCGGAUCAUUAAUUCAAUUUAGCCUAAAUAUUAUUAUUCAAGAAAUGAGACGUGUGUUCUUACUUGGAGAUGCAAGUAUUAUUAUCCUAAUUGUAUUUAACAUCAUUUUUCAACUUGCAUAUAACUCGUAAUAUUAGGACACUAGCGAAUAUCCAUCUUUCGUUUUUGUCUCUCUUCCUCUUCCUCUCUCUUUCCAAACCCAUAAUAAAAUAGCAGAGGCGAGAGAAGAAAGAAGAGAAAAGGAGCUCCUUGAUUUUCAUUCUCUUAACUUUUCCCCAGAAAUUGCAGAAAUAGAAAAAGGAAAACGAAAACUUAGAGAGGGAUGGGGAAAAGAGCCGACAGUUGGGGACGAUAUGAAGGUGGUUGGUGCAGAAGUGGUAUUCGACAAUAGUAAGUUCCCGUUGAUCUUUUGGGAGGUGGCCGUGUCUACCACCGUCGUAGUGGGCUUCUUGUUUGGCCUUUGAGAUGUUGGUAUUCUACUUGAAUCUAAUUUUUUUAACUUAAAAUUAAUUUUUAAGUUUUAGGCUUUAAAAACUUGUUUGAUAUGACUAUUUUCAAAAAUUGAACUCAAGACUAACUCAAAAAUAUAGUAUAUCUUCUAAAAACAUAAAAAGUGAGUUUUUAGAUAUUUUAAACUUAAACUUACUUCUUUCUUUUCUCUCCCUCCUCCUCCCUCACUCCAAAUCUAUCUCUCUUUUAUUCUUUCUCUCUCCUCUUUUUUUACCUUUUUCUUCUCUCCUCCAAUCCUCUUUCGUCGUUCUCUAAAUUCUUUCUCUCACUCAUCUUCCUCUUUAUCUCGUCCGAUCCUCUCUCUUCUUUCUCUUUUCUUCAAUCAUCUCUUACCUUUUUUUCCUCCUUUCUCCUAUUUUUCCCUCUCAUGCGACCCCCUCUUUUUAGAUCUCUUUGUCUAGUUUAAGUUGUAAGAUUUAAAAUUUUUAAAUCGCAAACCAAUCAAGUUUUUUAGUCUUAAAGAAAAUUGUUUUCAAGAAAUAUUCUUAAGAAGUGUUUUGAGAAAUGAUAAAAAACUUCAAAUAGGAUACCAAACAGGCCCUAAGAGGGGUAUAGUUUUCAUCGUUAUGGUCACCAACCAUUUCUUCUUAAGUUACGGUGCAAGGGCUCGAUUGAAACAAAUGAUUAAUUAAACCAAAGAGAGAUUCCUAUGCACAUUUAGGCAGAAAAAGCAUGCUUACAAAUAUAUGGAACUAAAUUUGCACGCAAGUCAUAAGAGUUCCUCAAUCCAAGAUUUAUCAACCAAUUCAUGUGGUUCUACCAACCCCUUCCAUCUUGCCUAAAAUUCUUUUUUAUUUUCAAUAUCCCAUAUGCAGUCAUGCAAAUCCUUGAAAAUGCCCUCAACCCAACCCUUGUCAUUGAAUUUGUUUAUAAUAUGCCAUAUGCAGUACAGAUGAAAAGUUGUUAGUUUGCUGCCAAUCGCCUUUGCUGUGGCUCCAUCUUGAUCUGUAAUUAUGAUUUUCGAAAGCUUACCCGUCAUAGCUUUAAUGAAUUCUUCAAACAAUCUCUCAAAGCUCUCGGUUUUUUCAUUUUUCAGGAAUGCACAACCUAAUAUCGUGGUUUGACUUGGCUAUUAACUCCUAACAAAUGAGCAAAAUCAUCUUGUACACAUUGGUGUUGAACGUGGUCUCAAACACAAUCACAUCACCAAAAUGACCAAAACAUGUUGUGAAUUAGAAUCUGUCCACUAGAAAUUGUCAAGUGUUCUGCCUUCCUCAAUCUCCAUCUUGAAAUGAAUGACUCAUUUUUCUCUUUCUCAUCCUCAAAAUGCUCUUUGAGCAAUCCUACAUCAUGCCCCAAUUAAAUGAGCUUGCAAUUACUCUUGAGCAUUAUACAUAUCCUUGGAGGUGCAACCAAUAUUUUCAAUUCCUCCACUUUGCACCUCCAAUAAACCCACUUGUUUACUAAUGAAAUUUUUUGUAUGCACACAUUUCCAAUCAUUGCCUUCUUUGCCUCCGAAACUCGGCAAUGAGAUCUAAAUAAGUGUGAGGCACUUGUCAUAAGGUGGUAGUGUCAUUCGUUAAAAACUAUUACAACAAAUUUUUCAUGGCUAAUUCCCUUAUACAGCUCAAUUUUCGCCUUACAGUCACUUCUAGCACCUCCCCUCCUACCUUGCCGAUUGGGUUUGAGAUUAGCAUCCACCCUCUUUUUGCUUUGUUUGCAACAAACAAAUUCUUUACUUACCAAACAAUCACCAUCAUUGCAUUUUUUUUUUAAUAUGCUCCCAAAUCCCAAACUCAGCUUCAAGUGCAUAAUAAUUGUAAAAAAAAUACAUCUUUCAUCCAACGGAUCAAACUCCAAUUUCAAUUUAGGUUUCUAGUCAUUGUCUACAUUUGGUACCACAAAUACAACCCUCCAUGCACCCACUUGAUCUCCUACAUCUACAACCUCUCAUUCCUCGAUAAUUUCAUCUAUUUCUAACUCAUCCCCAAUCGAAUUACAAUUCAACAAAUACCUGCUACAAAUCUACACAACUACAACAUAAAUUAUCACAUCUUAGCACAAGUUUUACCCGUAUAUAUGUAAAAUCGAUUCAAAUCCCAGAAUUAUAUAUCUUACACACAUACCCUAAGUUGGUUUUCAGAACCAAAAUGGAAAGGAAAUGGAAGAAUGAGGGAAAUGUACAACUUAACACGCUUUGACCAAAUGAGUGAACUAGUUGCCGCCACGGCGAACGCGACGGUGACAAAGCACUGACCACAGUUUCUUCACACGUCUUCGCAGAUGUGGGAUUUGGAUGAACUACUGAGCUUCACAAUCUGGGUUUCUUCAGAGGUUGUGGACGAACCACCUUUGUCAACUUCAAUCCACUUGAAAUCAAGCUCUCACAACCUUCACCAGCUCCCUCUCUCUACCUCUCUUUGCCCGCGAAUAUAACCCUCAACUCUCCCUUUCUCUAAAAAUAAAAAUAAAAAAUAUGAAAAAAAUAAAAAACCACUCAGUGAACCAAAAAAAUUAAAAGGAAGCUUCAAUCCACCUCUAUUCGACUCAUCCCUUUCUCUGCCUCUAUUUCCCUCUCAAAGGCACGAAUAAACCUUCAGCUCUCCCUCUCUCUGUGACAAAAACACACCUGGUGAACAAAAGAAAAGUAGGAAUUACACUGAGUCAGUAUGACUGGGUCCUACGCGUGAGAUCGACAGCUCACAACCGUUGGAUUCUCUUCCACGCGGUUGCAAGGUGAAGACUCAUCCUGUGACAGCAGUCAAAUCAAUAACUUGGGUUAGAAAAUGAACGAUCUGAAAAUGAAAGGUCUGCUCUAUUCAUAAUGGAUAAUCUGGGAAAUGGCAAAAUUUUCUUCGCUUUGUGAGAAGAGUUUAGUUGUUGUAUUUUUUUUUUUCAAAUAAUAGAUAUAGAUAUAUAUAUGUAGGAAUUGCUUAAGGGGAGGGAUCCCCAUUUUUUCAAAAAAAUGGGGACACGCUCCCCACCGUUGGAUUUGAAUUAAAUGAAAUUCUGUGGUUGAGAUUCUAUGGCCUGUGUUUUAAUCUCAACCACACAAUUUCAUUAAAGUCAAUCUAACGGUGGGGAGCGUGUCCCCAUUUUUUUAAAAAAAAUGGGGAUCCCUCCC